This is a non-coding RNA of Camellia sinensis, 526 nucleotides long. The record is from RefSeq and is a predicted model, not a curated record. Lineage: Eukaryota; Viridiplantae; Streptophyta; Magnoliopsida; Ericales; Theaceae.
AUGUUAAUAAUAAUAAUAAUAAUAAUAAUAAUAAUAAUAAUAAUAUGUUUAAAAAGUGGGGCGGUGGAAAGAAAAAUAUAUAUAUAAGAUAAAGAGGGUUUGGGCGGUGGAGAAAAGUUUAGAAUAGAAAAGUUUAUAUAAAAUUGGGGGUAGUGCUUUAUAAUAAUGAAAAUAAAGGUGAGGUAGUGGAUGUGUUUGGAAACCGUGUGAAAGAUAUAUUGAAUAUGUUAAAGAGAGUGCAGGUUGGGGCUUGUGUAAUCCAGAUUCCUUCUAUUUAAUAUCAUCCACUGAAUGUACCUCAAGGUCCAUAUUCCCACAAUCAUGAUAUGACACUGCUUCACCACAUCAUCAAGACCUAGCUCGUAGAUGGAGCUGGUCACUGUUCCAGGCUGUAAUACGAGGAAUAGAAAUAUCAACAACGGCCACUUCAACGGAAGGGCACUUGAGGGCUAUCACGGCCAUGGUAGGGCCACCAACAUACCCAGCUCCAAUGCAGCAAAUCUUCACCAUUUUUCUUCUCUAUCUA